AAACCCAGUAUCCAUUCUCUGAAGUGCAGGGAAAAGGAGAUAAUUAUCUUUCCAUCCAGGUGAUGGACCGUAUACUCCCUGCAGACAUAUCACUUGCAGGCUCAAGAACUGUGAGAAAGGGAGAAGGUGUGGAGUUUAAGUGUACUAUUUCAGACCCCAGUUUUCAAACAAAAAAGACCAGUGACUUAGUUCACUCUUACCUCUGCAAGUUUGGCUCUGUUGUUCAGAUCCAGGUGUUUGACGUAAAGAGCAUGGAGGCUAAGUUUACGAUUAAAAGUUUUUUAAAGAAUGACACAGGCAACUACAGUUGUGUGCUUGACCUGCAAUCAAAACCCCUCACAGAUAAAGACAAAAGAUUAUAUGGAAAUAAUGCAGUAUUUCUACAGGUUGAUGUGUCCUGGAGUCACUUAAUCCCACUCGUGUACUGUGUCUGUUUUCUUCUGAUCUUAUCACUGAUAGUGGGCAUAUGGUGGCUGUUCAUAAAACAAGACGGAACGUCAAAUGUGGAGGAAGAAUCCAGUGAUGAAUUUGCCUUUGACAGUGUGGCCGGUGGGGAGGAGUCCCAGGAUAUUGGUGAUGAGAUUGAUACAAACCAUGACAUGGUGGAUGCCACGUACCAAGAAAUUCUGGUUGAAACACGGAAAAUUAAACACGUUAUAGCACGUAUUCGAGAUGCAGCAAACCAAGGCCCAUAUACAGAAGUUGUGUAUGCCAAGUCAUGCAAGAAGAAAAGACGCCAUCAAUACAUGCCUUAAUCGUCAUUAGAUCGGCAUUAGUUCAAAGCAGUAGUGCAUGUGUACUUCAUGGUUUACAGUAUCUAUAAUAUAUACAGUAUACAGUAUCUUCUGUAUUUUAUGUGUUGUGUAUUCAAUGUGUUGGACUACUCCCUGCAUGUUCAAGUUGACGAUGAUGCCAAAUUGUUUUGUGACCUGUUUGCGGUGCAUUGUAUUACAUCUUCAGUGGGAGUAAUAAACAUUUUUUG
Oncorhynchus tshawytscha (Chinook salmon) is the source of this 982-nucleotide long non-coding RNA. NCBI's taxonomy places the organism in Eukaryota, Metazoa, Chordata, Actinopteri, Salmoniformes, Salmonidae. The record is from Ensembl.